GGCGUAAGCGCGCGCAGGCGGUUUCUUAAGUCUGAUGUGAAAGCCCCCGGCUCAACCGGGGAGGGUCAUUGGAAACUGGGAAACUUGAGUGCAGAAGAGGAAAGUGGAAUUCCAAGUGUAGCGGUGAAAUGCGUAGAGAUUUGGAGGAACACCAGUGGCGAAGGCGACUUUCUGGUCUGUAACUGACGCUGAGGCGCGAAAGCGUGGGGAGCAAACAGGAUUAGAUACCCUGGUAGUCCACGCUGUAAACGAUGAGUGCUAAGUGUUAGAGGGUUUCCGCCCUUUAGUGCUGAAGUUAACGCAUUAAGCACUCCGCCUGGGGAGUACGGUCGCAAGACUGAAACUCAAAGGAAUUGACGGGGGCCCGCACAAGUGGUGGAGCAUGUGGUUUAAUUCGAAGCAACGCGAAGAACCUUACCAGGUCUUGACAUCCUCUGACAACCCUAGAGAUAGGGCUUUCCCUUCGGGGACAGAGUGACAGGUGGUGCAUGGUUGUCGUCAGCUCGUGUCGUGAGAUGUUGGGUUAAGUCCCGCAACGAGCGCAACCCUUGAUCUUAGUUGCCAGCAUUUAGUUGGGCACUCUAAGGUGACUGCCGGUGACAAACCGGAGGAAGGUGGGGAUGACGUCAAAUCAUCAUGCCCCUUAUGACCUGGGCUACACACGUGCUACAAUGGAUAGUACAA
This 684-nucleotide ribosomal RNA is filed under the name Neobacillus bataviensis. Its description in RNAcentral is "bacterial SSU rRNA". It matches the Rfam family "Bacterial small subunit ribosomal RNA", at positions 557 to 1242 of the family's 1533-position model. The record is from RNAcentral. Lineage: Bacteria; Bacillati; Bacillota; Bacilli; Caryophanales; Bacillaceae.